This 497-nucleotide ribosomal RNA is filed under the name uncultured bacterium. RNAcentral's name for it is "partial 16S ribosomal RNA". It matches the Rfam family "Bacterial small subunit ribosomal RNA", at positions 28 to 507 of the family's 1533-position model. The record is from RNAcentral.
GAUGAACGCUGGCGGCGUGCCUAAUACAUGCAAGUCGAGCGAACGGACGAGAAGCUUGCUUCUCUGAUGUUAGCGGCGGACGGGUGAGUAACACGUGGAUAACCUACCUAUAAGACUGGGAUAACUUCGGGAAACCGGAGCUAAUACCGGAUAAUAUUUUGAACCGCAUGGUUCAAAAGUGAAAGACGGUCUUGCUGUCACUUAUAGAUGGAUCCGCGCUGCAUUAACUAGUUGGUAAGGUAACGGCUUACCAAGGCAACGAUGCAUAGCCGACCUGAGAGGGUGAUCAGCCACACUGGAACUGAGACACGGUCCAGACUCCUACGGGAGGCAGCAGUAGGGAAUCUUCCGCAAUGGGCGAAAGCCUGACGGAGCAACGCCGCGUGAGUGAUGAAGGUCUUCGGAUCGUAAAACUCUGUUAUUAGGGAAGAACAUAUGUGUAAGUAACUGUGCACAUCUUGACGGUACCUAAUCGGAAAGCCACGGCUAACUACGUG